This is a long non-coding RNA of Solea senegalensis (Senegalese sole), 782 nucleotides long. RefSeq lists it as uncharacterized. Lineage: Eukaryota; Metazoa; Chordata; Actinopteri; Pleuronectiformes; Soleidae. The record is from RefSeq and is a predicted model, not a curated record. The transcript has 3 exons.
CAGUCAGAGGGCCUGUGAUUAAUGUGCGGAGUGACUCUUUAAAAAAAAAACCCACAACCUUAAUAAAAAAGAAGCAAAAACUGGGGCGACGUGUCUACAGUUUAUAUUUAACAUCUUUGUCUUAAUCAUUCUCAACAUCCUGUUGGAAAUUGCAAAUUCUUUUUCAAUAUAUUCCAGAAUAGAAAUGUGAUUGUCAACCGCUGACUCACACUCUUUAAGGUGGACGGACUUCCUCGAGACACAGCAAUAACUACAGCGGUAGAAAGACAAUUGUUUGACUUACGGUCAAGUCUAAUCCAACCAUCUCUCCUCUAGAAAUGACUGUAUCUUCUCUAAGAUUAGCCGAGCUGGCAGAGGAGGAAGAGAGGCGGAAGAGAGCAGCCUUCCAUUUUCCUCAAGGGGGGAAGUGACUGGUCGUGGAGGAGGAAGUAGCAGAGGAGAGCAGGAAAAGGCGUCCCGUCGUCACAGGGUGCGGGGCGUGAACUCGACGGGGCGCGCGUAGCCACUGAUGAAGUUUGCCGGGAUUCCUGCCAGCAUUGAGUGAGCCUUGAUCGAGUUUGCCAGUCGUCAUCCUGGAUUUUUUUUGAAACCACAAGAGACCAUAUUUGGAUGAGAGGAAACCAGUGUGACAUCUGCUGUCAGUCACACCAUGUCCUUGUAUAUUAGGCUACGUCCAUACCAACCUGUUUUAUUUAACCCUUUAACACCUGAGCCUCUGAACUGGAAGAAUAUUAUCCUGUGAGUAAGUACUUUUGCCCAUUUUUACAGAAUAACUUUCUAAA